This 253-nucleotide ribosomal RNA is filed under the name uncultured bacterium. Its description in RNAcentral is "partial 16S ribosomal RNA". It matches the Rfam family "Bacterial small subunit ribosomal RNA", at positions 524 to 776 of the family's 1533-position model. The record is from RNAcentral.
GACGUAGGGCGCGAGCGUUGUCCGGAUUUAUUGGGCGUAAAGAGCUUGUAGGCGGUUUGUCGCGUCUGCUGUGAAAAUCCGGGGCUCAACCCCGGACUUGCAGUGGGUACGGGCAGGCUAGAGUGUGGUAGGGGAGACUGGAAUUCCUGGUGUAGCGGUGAAAUGCGCAGAUAUCAGGAGGAACACCGAUGGCGAAGGCAGGUCUCUGGGCCACUACUGACGCUGAGAAGCGAAAGCAUGGGGAGCGAACAGG